UAUUGGACAAUGGGGGGAACCCUGAUCCAGCGACGCCGCGUGAGUGAAGAAGUAUCUCGGUAUGUAAAGCUCUAUCAGCAGGGAAGAANGAAAUGACGGUACCUGACUAAGAAGCCCCGGCUAACUACGUGCCAGCAGCCGCGGUAAUACGUAGGGGGCAAGCGUUAUCCGGAUUUACUGGGUGUAAAGGGAGCGUAGGUGGCAAGGCAAGUCAGAUGUGAAAACCCGGGGCUCAACCCCGGGAGUGCAUUUGAAACUGUCCAGCUGGAGUGCAGGAGAGGUAAGCGGAAUUCCUAGUGUAGCGGUGAAAUGCAUAGAUAUUAGGAGGAACACCAGUGGCGAAGGCGCCUUACUGGACUGUAACUGACACUGAGGCUCGAAAGCGUGGGGAGCAAACAGGA
RNAcentral lists this ribosomal RNA (401 nucleotides) under uncultured bacterium. Its description in RNAcentral is "bacterial SSU rRNA". It matches the Rfam family "Bacterial small subunit ribosomal RNA", at positions 362 to 777 of the family's 1533-position model. The record is from RNAcentral.